RNAcentral lists this ribosomal RNA (251 nucleotides) under uncultured bacterium. RNAcentral's name for it is "partial 16S ribosomal RNA". It matches the Rfam family "Bacterial small subunit ribosomal RNA", at positions 88 to 339 of the family's 1533-position model. The record is from RNAcentral.
GCGGCGACCGGCGCACGGGUGCGUAACGCGUAUCCAACUUGCCCUUGUCCCGGGGAUAGCCUCGCGAAAGCGAGAAUAAUACCCGGUGUAGCCACGGUUCCGCAUGGAAUUGUGGCGAUAGGUCCGCCGGACAAGGAUAGGGAUGCGUCCCAUUAGGCAGUAGGCGGGGUAACGGCCCACCUAACCGACGAUGGGUAGGGGUUCUGAGAGGAAGGUCCCCCACAUUGGAACUGAGACACGGUCCAAACUCC